AAGAGAUCCAACCCGUCAGAACCAGAGAAGACCGUGGUGAUGAGGGUCCUGAGAGACAUGAACCUCUCCAAACUGGUGGACGAGGACGAGCCUCUGUUCAUGAGUCUCAUCAACGAUCUGUUUCCUGGUAUCGUUCUGGAUAAAGCCGGAUAUCCCGACCUGGAGGCGUCCAUCUGCAGUCAGGCUCAGCAGGCCGGUCUGAUCCCUCACCCGCC
Plectropomus leopardus (leopard coralgrouper) is the source of this 215-nucleotide non-coding RNA. Lineage: Eukaryota; Metazoa; Chordata; Actinopteri; Perciformes; Serranidae. The record is from RefSeq and is a predicted model, not a curated record.